CCUACGGGUGGCAGCAGUGGGGAAUAUUGGGCAAUGGAGGAAACUCUGACCCAGCAACGCCGCGUGAGUGAUGAAGUUCUUCGGAUUGUAAAGUUCUUUUCUCAGGGAAGAAGAACUUGACGGUCCCUUAUUACUAAGCCUCGGCUAACUACUUGCCCCCAGCAGCGGUAAUACGUAGGAGCCGAGCGUUAUCCGGAAUGACUGGGCGUAAAGGGUGCGUAGGUGGUUUGGCAAGUUAGUAGCGUAACUCCAAGGCUCAACCUUGGAACUACUACUAAAACUGUUGGACUGGAGUGCAGGAGGGGUAAGCGGAAUGCCUAGUGUAGCGGUGGAAUGCGUAGAUAUUAGGAGGAACACCAGUGGCGAAGGCGGGUUGCUAGACUGUAACUGACACUGAGGCACGAAAGCGUGGGGAGCAAACAGGAUUAGAUACCCCUGUAGUC
This 443-nucleotide ribosomal RNA is filed under the name uncultured bacterium. RNAcentral describes it as "partial 16S ribosomal RNA". It matches the Rfam family "Bacterial small subunit ribosomal RNA", at positions 338 to 795 of the family's 1533-position model. The record is from RNAcentral.